ACUGGAUUCAUUGAGGAAGAAAGAGCCAGAGCGUGAUAUUAGAUGGGACUAUAGAUAGAUGCUCUCAGAUCAACAUUAUUGGAAAUACAACUAGUGCAAUAUAGAGUUCAAAGAAGGAUAACUAGAUUGAAAUAGUAUUUGAUUGCAGUUAUUUCGAUGUAGCUACAUAUCGAAAGUGCCCACAAGAGGUUUAUCAUAUGAUGAAGUAGCACUUCAUUAAUUUUAAAACAGUGAAGGA
This 238-nucleotide long non-coding RNA is filed under the name Elaeis guineensis (African oil palm). RNAcentral describes it as "long non-coding RNA (EGUI_LNC034895)". The record is from RNAcentral. Lineage: Eukaryota; Viridiplantae; Streptophyta; Magnoliopsida; Arecales; Arecaceae.